UACGAGUGCCCCGAGCGUUAUCCGGAAUUAUUGGGCGUAAGGGUGUGUAGGCGGUCAUAUUAGUCUUUUGUUAAAUUCUUCGGCUUAACCGGGGGCAUGCAAAAGAAACGGUAUGACUAGAGGAUGCGAGAGGUGAAUGGAACUCAUGGAGUAGGGGUGAAAUCCGUUGAUAUCAUGGGGAACACCAAAAGCGAAGGCAAUUCACUGGCGCACUCCUGACGCUGAAACACGAAAGCGUAGGUAGCGAAUGGG
This 252-nucleotide ribosomal RNA is filed under the name uncultured bacterium. RNAcentral's name for it is "partial 16S ribosomal RNA". It matches the Rfam family "Bacterial small subunit ribosomal RNA", at positions 524 to 776 of the family's 1533-position model. The record is from RNAcentral.